UGAAUACGAGAUGCUACGGCGUCGAAGCAGUCUAUGUCAUACUUCCAAGAAAAGCUCGCACUGUCAUAAACAAAUAAUGCCUGUACCAUAACCGACACAGGUGGGUAGGUAGAGUAUACUAAGGGGCGCGAGAUAACUCUCUCUAAGGAACUCGGCAAAAUGACUCCGUAACUUCGGGAGAAGGAGUGCCUUAUUUAUAAGGUUGCAAUAACAAGAUCCAAGCAACUGUUUAUCAAAAACACAGGUCUCCGCUAAGUCGUAAGACGAUGUAUGGGGGCUGACGCCUGCCCAGUGCCAGAAGGUUAAAGAAGUUGGUUAGCAUUCGCGAAGCUGAUAACUGAAGCCCUGGUGAACGGCGGCCGUAACAAUAACGGUCCUAAGGUAGCGAAAUUCCUUGUCGGGUAAGUUCCGACCCGCACGAAAGGCGUAAUGAUUUGGAUACUGUCUCGGAGAGGGGCUCGGUGAAAUAGACUUGUCUGUGAAGAUGCGGACUACCUGCACCAGGACAGAAAGACCCUAUGAAGCUUUACUGUAACUUGAGAUUGAAAUUGGACUUUACUUGCGCAGUAUAGGUGGGAGGCGUUGAUAAUACUCUUGCGGGAUUAUUUGAGCCAUCAGUGAGAUACCACUCUUGUAAUGUUAGAUUUCUAACUUUGUAUCAUUAUCUGGUCAAAGGACAGUUUCAGGCGGGCAGUUUGACUGGGGCGGUCGCCUCCUAAACGGUAACGGAGGCGCACAAAGGUUUCCUCUGAACGGGUAGAAAUCGUAUCUAGAGUGUAAAGGCAUAAGGAAGCUUGACUGUGAGACCUACAAGUCGAGCAGGGACGAAAGUCGGUCUUAGUGAUCUGACGGUGCUGAGUGGAAAGGCCGUCACUCAACGGAUAAAAGUUACUCUAGGAUAACAGGCUGAUCUCCCCCAAGAGUUCACAUCGACGGGGAGGUUUGGCACCUCGAUGUCGGCUCAUCGCAUCCUGGGGCGGUAGUACGUCCCAAGGGUUGGGCUGUUCGCCCAUGAAAGCGGUACGCGAGCUGGGUUCAGAACGUCGUGAGACAGUUCGGUCCAUAUCCGGUGUAGGCGUUAGAAUAUUGAGAGGAGCCUUCUUUAGUACGAGAGGACCGAGAAGGACAUACCUCUGGUGUACCAGUUAUCGUGCCAACGGUAAACGCUGGGUAGCUAUGUAUGGAGUGGAUAACCGCUGAAAGCAUCUAAGUGGGAAGCCCACCUCAAGAUAAG
RNAcentral lists this ribosomal RNA (1234 nucleotides) under metagenome. RNAcentral describes it as "bacterial LSU rRNA". It matches the Rfam family "Bacterial large subunit ribosomal RNA", at positions 1564 to 2808 of the family's 2925-position model. The record is from RNAcentral.